Molecule: transfer RNA, 71 nt
Filed under: Loxodonta africana (African savanna elephant)
Lineage: Eukaryota; Metazoa; Chordata; Mammalia; Proboscidea; Elephantidae
Rfam family: tRNA
About the family: Transfer RNA (tRNA) molecules are approximately 80 nucleotides in length. Their secondary structure includes four short double-helical elements and three loops (D, anti-codon, and T loops).
Source: Rfam by way of RNAcentral
GCAUUGGUGGCUCAGUGGUAGAAUUCUCACCUUCCAUGCGGGAGAGCUGGGUUUGAUUCCUAGACAGUGCA